This 104-nucleotide non-coding RNA is filed under the name Fictibacillus phosphorivorans. Its description in RNAcentral is "TPP sequence". It matches the Rfam family "TPP riboswitch aptamer (THI element)". From Rfam's summary of the family: Vitamin B(1) in its active form thiamin pyrophosphate (TPP) is an essential coenzyme that is synthesised by coupling of pyrimidine and thiazole moieties in bacteria. The previously detected thiamin-regulatory element, thi box was extended, resulting in a new, highly conserved RNA secondary structure, the THI element, which is widely distributed in eubacteria and also occurs in some archaea. Analysis of operon structures identified a large number of new candidate thiamin-regulated genes, mostly transporters, in various prokaryotic organisms. The record is from RNAcentral. Lineage: Bacteria; Bacillati; Bacillota; Bacilli; Caryophanales; Fictibacillaceae.
UCAUUUCGCUAGGGGCGCUUAUUUAAGCUGAGAGAAGGUUAUACUUUCGACCCUUUGAACCUGAUCCAGUUCAUACUGGCGUAGGGAAGCGGUGUGGAUCUAUU